AAACUAAAGGGUAGAACACGUUCUGCUAAUUUUAGAGGUAAAAAGAAAUUAUUCGUAAAAUUGUGAACAGAGGCCAAUAGCCAAAAAGGCAUAACAUACAUAUAGACCAUUUGACCUCGCUUAGAUUUAAGAAUAAUGAGUAUAAGUUUCAUCUGAGCCUACUUAGGCGAGUUCCAUUUACAAAUGGGGCAAAGCAAAUGCAAUAGAUUUCUCAGAGUUGCACCACACACAACGCCGGAGAAGGGCAUCCCGGGCAGGCAAGUACCUCUCGAAUCCCCACAGCCUGGCCGGCAUUGGAAAGCUAAAAUGGUUACCCAGCUCACGUGGGUGCUUAGAAACCAUCAACCCAAAGGUAAACGCCAUUGCCAAGGACAAAAGUCUGUUUCACAUGCUUGAGAGUCAGAAAUAUUGUUUGUUUAAAUAAACCUUAAAAACAACUAGCAUUCAGCACCUAGUCACCGAAAUCAAGGCACAUGUAGCAUUGACCCUA
RNAcentral lists this unclassified non-coding RNA (490 nucleotides) under Hevea brasiliensis (rubber tree). The record is from RNAcentral. Lineage: Eukaryota; Viridiplantae; Streptophyta; Magnoliopsida; Malpighiales; Euphorbiaceae.